This 1156-nucleotide long non-coding RNA is filed under the name Gallus gallus (chicken). Lineage: Eukaryota; Metazoa; Chordata; Aves; Galliformes; Phasianidae. The record is from RNAcentral.
GGUCCCCAUCUGCAUGAAGAAGAGCAAGCGCUGCGUUCUGCACCUGGGAUGCGGCAGCCCUGGCUGUACGUACAGAGUGGGGGGGCGAGGGGCUGGAGAUCAUCCCUGCCAAAAGGGAGGGAUCUGGGCGUUGUGGUUGCUGACAACUUGAAUCUGAGCUGGCAGUGUGCCCUGGGCACAGGGUUUGAGUUUGGGUGGUCCUUUGGGGAGCCAGGGGUUGGACUUGAUGGUCCCUGUGUGUCCCUUCCAACUCAGGAUAUUCUAUGAUUCUGUGAUAUCCGUGGUUUGCCUGGGAAAUCCCUGAUGUUUUUUUCUGUCCAUUUUUCAUGGCUAGCGAGCUGUGAGAAGUGAAGGAAUGGCAGUGCGUGCUUAACCGGGCUGCGUGGCAAGCAGGUCCGCUGGGCUGCCGUAUAAGGAUGCAUCCAGACUUCCAAAUCACCUCCUUUAAGAAGGCCGAAUAGUCUUUCAGUGAUUGUUCUGGGCAGCUCACACCACUGGGUGUAUAAUUCAUUUCACUUGGAAUUUCAGGGUCAGACAUAAAUGUCUGAGAAGGAAGUGGGAGGCUGAACUGAUAUUUGGAAAAAUGAAAAAUGUUUAAAAUGUUUUUGCAAGAUAAGCCCUCAGCAAACAGUCGUCCUGUUCCACUUUUGGCCAGUCUCAAUGCUUGUCUUCCAGAAUGUCUGCGUGUGGAUGAAUUGCAACAGGAUCCUGGGAACUUUUAGGAAAGGUAGGAAGGAGGACCCGGGGAACUACAGGCCGGUGAGCCUCACCUCUGUGCCUGGGAAGAUCAUGGAGCAGAUCCUCCUACAAGAGGAAGAAACUUACAGGAGAAAAAAACUACAGGAAAGAUUGCUUCACGUGUAAUGAAAAGCUAGUGUCCAGAAGAUCACUGCGGCCAGAUGCCAAUUUUGAUGCCCUCGUCAGUAAGACUUGUCCAAGCCCUGAUGUAUGUGAAGCUCAUCAGGAGGGAAUGCUAGCAAGAAUCAGCUAACACAAUAGCAGCAAGCUUUCAGUGACAGCGUUCAGGAAGGGUGAUGAUUCAGGCUGGGACCAGAUACCUUGGUGUCACUGGAAUCCAUGGAGCUGACACAGUCCUCUGAUGGCUGGAUUUCUGCUUGCUAAGGGUAUUCCUUCUGGUUUCUUGGCUUUUCAGGUG